This 466-nucleotide ribosomal RNA is filed under the name uncultured bacterium. RNAcentral's name for it is "partial 16S ribosomal RNA". It matches the Rfam family "Bacterial small subunit ribosomal RNA", at positions 339 to 795 of the family's 1533-position model. The record is from RNAcentral.
CUACGGGAUGCUCCAGUGGGGAAUAUUGGACAAUGGGGGAAACCCUGAUCCAGCAAUGCCGCGUGUGUGAAGAAGGCCUGCGGGUUGUAAAGCACUUUCGGUUGGGAGGACUGCUUCUAGCACUAAUAUUGUUGGAAGUUGACGUUACCUUCAGAAGAAGCACCGGCUAACUCCGUGUCAGCGAGCCGCGGUAAUACGGAGGGUGCAGGCGUUAAUCGGAAUUACGGGGCGUAAAGCGCGCGUAGGCGGCUAGAUCAGUCGGGUGUGAAAGCCCCGGGCUUAACCUGGGAACUGCAUCCGAUACUGUCUAGCUUGAGUACAGGAGAGGAGAGUGGAAUUCCACAUGUAGCGGUGAAAUGCGUAGAUAUGUGGAGGAACACCAAUGGCGAAGGCAGCUCUCUGGCCUGAUACUGACGCUGAGGUGCGAAAGCGUGGGGAGCAAACAGGAUUAGAUACCCUUGUAGUC